GAUGAACGCUGGCGGCGUGCCUAAUACAUGCAAGUCGAGCGAACGGACGAGAAGCUUGCUUUUCUGAUGUUAGCGGCGGACGGGUGAGUAACACGUGGAUAACCUACCUAUAAGACUGGGAUAACUUCAGGAAACCGGAGCUAAUAUCGGAUAAUAUUUUGAACCGCAUGGUUCAAAAGUGAAAGACGGUCUUGCUGUCACUUAUAGAUGGAUCCGCGCUGCAUUAGCUAGUUGGUAAGGUAACGGCUUACCAAGGCAACGAUGCAUAGCCGACCUGAGAGGGUGAUCAGCCACACUGGAACUGAGACACGGUCCAGACUCCUACGGGAGGCAGCAGUAGGGAAUCUUCCGCAAUGGGCGAAAGCCUGACGGAGCAACGCCGCGUGAGUGAUGAAGGUCUUCGGAUCGUAAAACUCUGUUAUUAGGGAAGAACAUAUGUGUAAGUAACUGUGCACAUCUUGACGGUACCUAAUCAGAAAGCCACGGCUAACUACGUG
This 497-nucleotide ribosomal RNA is filed under the name uncultured bacterium. RNAcentral describes it as "partial 16S ribosomal RNA". It matches the Rfam family "Bacterial small subunit ribosomal RNA", at positions 28 to 507 of the family's 1533-position model. The record is from RNAcentral.